UGGGGCGUCGCCAAGUGGUAAGGCAACGGGUUUUGGUCCUGGUAUUCGGAGGUUCGAAUCCUUCCGUCCCAG
This 72-nucleotide transfer RNA is filed under the name Phebalium clavatum. Its description in RNAcentral is "tRNA-Gln". It matches the Rfam family "tRNA". From Rfam's summary of the family: Transfer RNA (tRNA) molecules are approximately 80 nucleotides in length. Their secondary structure includes four short double-helical elements and three loops (D, anti-codon, and T loops). RNAcentral also lists the same sequence under 5 other names. Lineage: Eukaryota; Viridiplantae; Streptophyta; Magnoliopsida; Sapindales; Rutaceae. The record is from RNAcentral.